Molecule: long non-coding RNA, 299 nt
Organism: Uranotaenia lowii
Lineage: Eukaryota; Metazoa; Arthropoda; Insecta; Diptera; Culicidae
Exons: 3
Source: RefSeq, a predicted model, not a curated record
AGUGGAUAUUUCAAAUGGCGACGAGGAGUGGAUCUUUUUGGUUGGAGCCGGAGCGGCAGUUCAGAUAUUUUUAAUAUUUUUGUUGAACGCCGCAUUUGGUGAAUUCUCCCUCCAUUUAGCUUCGACUCGACCACAUCUCCUGGGUGCACUGCCGCUGAGCGAUACUUGUGAGAGUGAGCGUUGGUUUUGGAAGACGCCGUCGUCUUCGUGCAGUGUUUUCAAUGUGCCCGCUAAAGUAGACAUUAAAAAGAAUAGAUAUUGGUUGUUUUUUGGACGCUAUGUGAAAAAGUUUACAUCUU